Non-coding RNA from Otolemur garnettii (small-eared galago), 210 nucleotides. The record is from Rfam. NCBI's taxonomy places the organism in Eukaryota, Metazoa, Chordata, Mammalia, Primates, Galagidae.
AAGACUAUACUUUCAAGGAUCAUUUCUAUAGUUCAUUACUAGAGAAGUCUCUCUGAAUGUGUAGAGCACUGGAAACCAUGAGGAGGAGGUGCAGUGUUCUCUCCUGAGCGUGAAGUUGGCUCUUGGUGUUGCUUUAGUGCAAUUGCCAUUUGCCAUUGAUGAACGCGGAAAAAAAAAAAAAAAGAGAUUGAAGUAAAACCAUUUCUUAAU